This 972-nucleotide ribosomal RNA is filed under the name actinomycete symbiont 5 of Acromyrmex octospinosus. RNAcentral's name for it is "bacterial SSU rRNA". It matches the Rfam family "Bacterial small subunit ribosomal RNA", at positions 363 to 1352 of the family's 1533-position model. Lineage: Bacteria; Bacillati; Actinomycetota; Actinomycetes; Actinomycetales. The record is from RNAcentral.
AUUGGACAAUGGGCGAAAGCUGAUCCAGCAACGCGCGUGAGGGAUGACGGCCUUCGGGUUGUAANCCUCUUUCAGCACCGACGAAGCGAAAGUGACGGUAGGUGCAGAAGAAGGACCGGCCAACNANGNNCNANCAGCCGCGGUAAUACGUAGGGUCCGAGCGUUGUCCGGAAUUAUUGGGCGUAAAGGGCUCGUAGGCGGUUUGUCGCGUCGGGAGUGAAAACUCAGGGCUUAACCCUGAGCGUGCUUCCGAUACGGGCAGACUAGAGGUAUGCAGGGGAGAACGGAAUUCCUGGUGUAGCGGUGGAAUGCGCAGAUAUCAGGAGGAACACCGGUGGCGAAGGCGGUUCUCUGGGCAUUACCUGACGCUGAGGAGCGAAAGCAUGGGGAGCGAACAGGAUUAGAUACCCUGGUAGUCCAUGCCGUAAACGUUGGGCGCUAGGUGUGGGGACCUUCCACGGUCUCCGUGCCGCAGCUAACGCAUUAAGCGCCCCGCCUGGGGAGUACGGCCGCAAGCUAAAACUCAAAGGAAUUGACGGGGGCCCGCACAAGCGGCGGAGCAUGCUGAUUAAUUCGAUGCAACGCGAAGAACCUUACCUGGGUUUGACAUAUGCCGGAAAGCUAUAGAGAUAUAGCCCCCUUUUGGUCGGUAUACAGGUGGUGCAUGGCUGUCGUCAGCUCGUGUCGUGAGAUGUUGGGUUAAGUCCCGCAACGAGCGCAACCCUCGUCCUAUGUUGCCAGCACGUAAUGGUGGGGACUCAUAGGAGACUGCCGGGGUCAACUCGGAGGAAGGUGGGGAUGACGUCAAGUCUUCAUGCCCCUUAUAUCCAGGNCNNNAANCAUGCUACAAUGGCCGGUACAAAGGGCUGCGAAAUCGCAAGAUGGAGCGAAUCCCAAANNGCCGGUCUCAGUUCGGAUUGGGGUCUGCAACUCGACCCCAUGAAGUCGGAGUCGCUAGUAAUCGCAGAUCAG